UUGCCAAGCAACGAAGCAAGUUCAAAGAACUGAAGAGGAACCUCCUAUGUACCGAACAACCUACUAUGGCCACCAUACAUGCAAGAACUUGCUCAAGGCUUCUCACCUUUUCUUGGAUGCUCCUGAUGCUACCGAUUCUUCUAUGCUACUAAGCUUUGGCAAUGGCCGCCACCACCACCUCACAAACAAACAAGAUACCCCUUUUUUUCUCAUCCUUCCAGUCAGUAAAACAGGAGAACAAUAACGAAUUGCCAAAUGAUCAUGAUCAUCAUCUUACCCAUAACCAGUCAUCUUCCUCCGAUUAUCUUCUCUCUCCUGAAGAUCAUUUGUCAACUUUGGAUCCAGCGGAUGUGAUUUCUGGGGUUAACUCGUCUUGCACCACUAGCACUACUACCCAUCGCAGUUUGGACCUUGACAUGAUUGUGACAUCAGUGGAUAAUCACUUUGAUGAUGAUGAUGUUUUGGAAUUGGAAUACUUUGAUUAUACAGAAUAAUUUCCAUGUAGAAAUAGUUUUA
RNAcentral lists this unclassified non-coding RNA (516 nucleotides) under Hevea brasiliensis (rubber tree). Lineage: Eukaryota; Viridiplantae; Streptophyta; Magnoliopsida; Malpighiales; Euphorbiaceae. The record is from RNAcentral.